RNAcentral lists this transfer RNA (73 nucleotides) under Mitosporidium daphniae. RNAcentral's name for it is "tRNA-Met". It matches the Rfam family "tRNA". From Rfam's summary of the family: Transfer RNA (tRNA) molecules are approximately 80 nucleotides in length. Their secondary structure includes four short double-helical elements and three loops (D, anti-codon, and T loops). The record is from RNAcentral. Lineage: Eukaryota; Fungi; Microsporidia.
UUUAUAAUAGCUUAAUGGUUAAAGCAUUUCACUCAUAAUGAAAAGAUUCUAUGUUCAACUCAUAGUUAUGAUA